This 678-nucleotide ribosomal RNA is filed under the name Curtobacterium sp. RNAcentral describes it as "bacterial SSU rRNA". It matches the Rfam family "Bacterial small subunit ribosomal RNA", at positions 659 to 1336 of the family's 1533-position model. Lineage: Bacteria; Bacillati; Actinomycetota; Actinomycetes; Micrococcales; Microbacteriaceae. The record is from RNAcentral.
GAUAGGAAUUCCUGGUGUAGCGGUGGAAUGCGCAGAUAUCAGGAGGAACACCGAUGGCGAAGGCAGAUCUCUGGGCCGUAACUGACGCUGAGGAGCGAAAGCAUGGGGAGCGAACAGGAUUAGAUACCCUGGUAGUCCAUGCCGUAAACGUUGGGCGCUAGAUGUAGGGACCUUUCCACGGUUUCUGUGUCGUAGCUAACGCAUUAAGCGCCCCGCCUGGGGAGUACGGCCGCAAGGCUAAAACUCAAAGGAAUUGACGGGGGCCCGCACAAGCGGCGGAGCAUGCGGAUUAAUUCGAUGCAACGCGAAGAACCUUACCAAGGCUUGACAUACACCGGAAACGGCCAGAGAUGGUCGCCCCCUUGUGGUCGGUGUACAGGUGGUGCAUGGUUGUCGUCAGCUCGUGUCGUGAGAUGUUGGGUUAAGUCCCGCAACGAGCGCAACCCUCGUUCUAUGUUGCCAGCGGGUUAUGCCGGGGACUCAUAGGAGACUGCCGGGGUCAACUCGGAGGAAGGUGGGGAUGACGUCAAAUCAUCAUGCCCCUUAUGUCUUGGGCUUCACGCAUGCUACAAUGGCCGGUACAAAGGGCUGCGAUACCGUAAGGUGGAGCGAAUCCCAAAAAACCGGUCUCAGUUCGGAUUGAGGUCUGCAACUCGACCUCAUGAAGUCGGAGUCGCU